Molecule: ribosomal RNA, 201 nt
Filed under: uncultured bacterium
Lineage: Bacteria
Description: partial 16S ribosomal RNA
Rfam family: Bacterial small subunit ribosomal RNA
Source: RNAcentral
ACGCUCGACACCUACUGGAGGCAGCAGUGGGGAAUAUUGGGCAAUGGGCGCAAGCCUGACCCAGCAACGCCGCGUGAAGGAAGAAGGCUUUCGGGUUGUAAACUUCUUUUAUCAGGGAAGAUGAAUGAGACUGUACCUGAUGAAUAAGCCACGGCUAACUACGUGUCAGCAGCCGCGGUAAUCUGAGCGGGCUGGCAAGGC